AGUGUUCAAUAUCUAGUACAGCCGAACUAAGGUGAAACCGCGAAUGGCUCAUUAAAUCACACCUAAUCUACAGUACCGAUAAACAGUUACUUGGAUAACUGAGGUAAUUCUUGAGCUAAUACAUGCGAUGAAACCGCGACUCACGAAGCGGUGCUUUUAUUAGAUCAAAACCAGACGGCGCCCCGUCAAAAGGGUGCCGGCAAACCUUGGCGAUUCUGAAUAACUUUGGGCUGAUAGCAUUGCCUUGCGCAGGCUACAAGUUCUUCGAAGGUGUGCCCUAUCAACUUUCGACUGUGUCACAGCUGGGCACAGUGGUUUUAACGGGUAACGGGGAAUGGGGCGGGGGCGGCGGGCCGGGCGCGGGGCGCGGGCGGGCGA
RNAcentral lists this ribosomal RNA (378 nucleotides) under uncultured eukaryote. RNAcentral describes it as "bacterial SSU rRNA". It matches the Rfam family "Eukaryotic small subunit ribosomal RNA", at positions 55 to 374 of the family's 1831-position model. The record is from RNAcentral.